Molecule: ribosomal RNA, 438 nt
Filed under: uncultured bacterium
Lineage: Bacteria
Description: bacterial SSU rRNA
Rfam family: Bacterial small subunit ribosomal RNA
Source: RNAcentral
CCUACGGGGGGCAGCAGUGGGGAAUAUUGCGCAAUGGGGGGAACCCUGACGCAGCCAUGCCGCGUGAAUGAAGAAGGCCUUCGGGUUGUAAAGUUCUUUCGGUGAUGAGGAAGGUGGUUGCUUUAAUAGAGUAGCCAAUUGACGUUAGUCACAGAAGAAGCACCGGCUAACUCCGUGCCAGCAGCCGCGGUAAUACGGAGGGUGCGAGCGUUAAUCGGAAUAACUGGGCGUAAAGGGCACGCAGGCGGUUGUUUAAGUGAGGUGUGAAAUCCCCGGGCUUAACCUGGGAAUUGCAUUUCAGACUGGACGACUAGAGUAUUUUAGGGAGGGGUAGAAUUCCACGUGUAGCGGUGAAAUGCGUAGAGAUGUGGAGGAAUACCGAAGGCGAAGGCAGCCCCUUGGGGAGAUACUGACGCUCAUGUGCGAAAGCGUGGGGAG